This 664-nucleotide unclassified non-coding RNA is filed under the name Zea mays. Its description in RNAcentral is "misc RNA Zm00001eb374900". The record is from RNAcentral. Lineage: Eukaryota; Viridiplantae; Streptophyta; Magnoliopsida; Poales; Poaceae.
GUUCCAAGCGCUAACGCGCGUCAAUCUCUCAGACAGCCGGCUCACGACGCCCUGGCCAGCUCUGGUCGCCAUGAGUCGCAGCAGGUUCUUUGCUUGGACGCUCGCGGUCGCCGUCGCCGUCCUCCUGUGGUCUUAUUGCGCCGCCAGAGCAGUCUGCUCCUCCUCCUCGCGUCCUCUCGCUGCUGCGGACGAUGGGGGCGGCGCGAGGGACGACGAGCCAGAGCCAUGCGCCGCGGGCGGUGCCGCCUCCCGUGGCCAGAGGGAGAUCUGGAACAGCAGGCGGUCUUUGGGUGGCAGGUCGUGGUGGUCCCCGCCGUCGCCGCUGUGGAACUCGCCCAGGACGAUGCCCGUGCCCCCGCCGCCGCAGGUGUGAUGUCGAGCUGCCGAGCUGGCCGGCUGGACUCUGCUGCUGCGACCUGCGACUGCGAGGAGUUUCCCGUCGAGUGUGUUGUUGUGCCUGAAUGCCUGGCCUCUUCUUUCUGGAGAGGUAUGCCGUAUGCAUGCUUCAGGAUUGCAUACGUACGCUGCUUCAGCUGUCCGUCUACGAACGUACUACCGACGUGUGUGAUCGAAGUAUUUGUGUGCCUCGAAGAUUUGUUCGACGAUCCUCAUUGAUUCCAAUAGGUCAAGAGCUUUAUACGACAUCUCUUGGAGGAAAUAGAUU